This is a long non-coding RNA of Lolium rigidum, 536 nucleotides long. RefSeq lists it as uncharacterized. The transcript is spliced from 5 exons. The record is from RefSeq and is a predicted model, not a curated record. Lineage: Eukaryota; Viridiplantae; Streptophyta; Magnoliopsida; Poales; Poaceae.
AACGCAAGAGUUGUUGGACAAGCACAUAGUACGCGUCUGGCCAUGCCCCGUUUCACCUUUCUCUCGUCAUGACAAGAAGGAAGAGAAGUCUCUACAAUCCUCGAGGGAAUCACCUCUAGCAAGAAAGUAGCUCCUAAAGAAAUUUGAUGAUUAUCAUGCCUUGCAAUACCCCAUUCAGCUUUAGUUUAGUAGACAGCUGGUUAACUGCUUCCUGAAGUGACUGUAUGAUGCAAAGCUAUGGUUCUUUUCGAAGUUUUUUCUGCCUUUGUAGAUGAAGAGUAGCGAAUUGUUUGGACUGAAUUCUGAAUAUGCUGCAUUUGUGCCAUGUGCGAGAAAUAGCAUAUUGUUAUCAUCUUGAAAUAGUAGACAAAAAUGUACAUUGAGGAGCUGGUCACUUCAGUACAGACUACAGAGAGAUGACGGCUUGAGAUAUAGUCGCAGCACCAUCAUUGGCUGCAAGAAUUUGCUCCCUGGAAGCGGAAAUGUCAACACGGUAGCCUCAUAUUUUCCCCUCACAUGACGAAUUCAUAAAAGAA